CCUACGGGAGGCAGCAGUGAGGAAUAUUGGUCAAUGGACGAGAGUCUGAACCAGCCAAGUAGCGUGAAGGAUGACUGCCCGAUGGGUUGUAAACUUCUUUUAUAAAGGAAUAAAACGAGGCACGUGGGCGGUUUUGCAUGUACCUUAUGAAUAAGGAUCGGCUAACUCCGUGCCAGCAGCCGCGGUAAUACGGAGGAUCCGAGCGUUAUCCGGAUUUAUUGGGGUUAAAGGGAGCGUAGCUGGGUUGUUAAGUCCGUUGUCAAAGUUUGCGGCUCAACCGUAAAAUUGCACUUGAUACUGGCAGUCUUUCGUACAGUUGCGGUCGCCGGAAUUCGUGGUGUAGCGG
Molecule: ribosomal RNA, 346 nt
Filed under: uncultured bacterium
Lineage: Bacteria
Description: partial 16S ribosomal RNA
Rfam family: Bacterial small subunit ribosomal RNA
Source: RNAcentral